AAUUUUGCGCAAUGGGGGAAACCCUGACGCAGCGACGCCGCGUGGAGGAUGAAGGCCUUCGGGUCGUAAACUCCUGUCAGAGGUGAAGAAUGCCCGCAAGGGUUUGACGGUAACCUCAGAGGAAGCCCCGGCUAACUACGUGCCAGCAGCCGCGGUAAUACGUAGGGGGCGAGCGUUGCUCGGAAUUACUGGGCGUAAAGGGUGUGUAGGUGGCUGAUCAAGUCAAAGAUGAAAUCCCGAGGCUCAACUUCGGAAUUGUCUUUGAAACUGGUCGGCUUGAGGCUAGUUGAGGAGAGCGGAAUUCCCGGUGGAGCGGUGAAAUGCGUAGAUAUCGGGAGGAACACCUGAGGCGUAGGCGGUUCUCUAAACUUGUCCUGACACUGAGACACGAAAGCUAGGGGAGCAAACGGGAUUAGA
RNAcentral lists this ribosomal RNA (417 nucleotides) under uncultured bacterium. RNAcentral's name for it is "bacterial SSU rRNA". It matches the Rfam family "Bacterial small subunit ribosomal RNA", at positions 360 to 782 of the family's 1533-position model. The record is from RNAcentral.